CCUAGUAACGGCGAGUGAAGCGGCAACAGCUCAAAUUUGAAAGCUAGCCUUCGGGUUCGCAUUGUAAUUUGUAGAGGAUGAUUUGGGGAAGCCGCCUGUCUAAGUUCCUUGGAACAGGACGUCAUAGAGGGUGAGAAUCCCGUAUGUGACAGGAAAUGGCACCCUAUGUAAAUCUCCUUCGACGAGUCGAGUUGUUUGGGAAUGCAGCUCUAAAUGGGAGGUAAAUUUCUUCUAAAGCUAAAUAUUGGCGAGAGACCGAUAGCGCACAAGUAGAGUGAUCGAAAGAUGAAAAGCACUUUGGAAAGAGAGUUAAAAAGCACGUGAAAUUGUUGAAAGGGAAGCGCUUGCAAUCAGACUUGUUUAAACUGUUCGGCCGGUCUUCUGACCGGUUUACUCAGUUUGGACAGGCCAGCAUCAGUUUCGGCGGCCGGAUAAAGGCUCUGGGAAUGUGGCCUCCACUUCGGUGGAGGUGUUAUAGCCCAGGGUGUAAUACGGCCAGCCGGGACUGAGGUCCGCGCUUCGGCUAGGAUGCUGG
RNAcentral lists this ribosomal RNA (535 nucleotides) under Aureobasidium proteae. RNAcentral's name for it is "eukaryotic LSU rRNA". It matches the Rfam family "Eukaryotic large subunit ribosomal RNA", at positions 79 to 629 of the family's 3401-position model. Lineage: Eukaryota; Fungi; Ascomycota; Dothideomycetes; Dothideales; Saccotheciaceae. The record is from RNAcentral.